This 384-nucleotide ribosomal RNA is filed under the name uncultured bacterium. RNAcentral's name for it is "bacterial SSU rRNA". It matches the Rfam family "Bacterial small subunit ribosomal RNA", at positions 28 to 412 of the family's 1533-position model. The record is from RNAcentral.
GACGAACGCUGGCGGCGUGCUUAACACAUGCAAGUCGAGCGGUAAGGCCCUUUCGGGGGUACACGAGCGGCGAACGGGUGAGUAACACGUGGGUGACCUGCCCUCAGCUCUGGGAUAAGCCUGGGAAACUGGGUCUAAUACCGGAUAUGACUCCAUGACGCAUGUUGUGGGGUGGAAAGCCUUGUGCGGCUGAGGAUGGGCCCGCGGCCUAUCAGCUUGUUGGUGGGGUGANGGCCUACCAAGGCGACGACGGGUAGCCGGCCUGAGAGGGCGACCGGCCACACUGGGACUGAGACACGGCCCACGACUCCUACGGGNGGCAGCAGUGGGGAAUCUUGCGCAAUGGGCGAAAGCCUGACGCAGCGACGCCGCGUGAGGGAGUGG